Molecule: ribosomal RNA, 505 nt
Filed under: uncultured bacterium
Lineage: Bacteria
Description: partial 16S ribosomal RNA
Source: RNAcentral
GGAGUUAGCCGGUGCUUCUUCUGUGAGUGAUGUCCUUCCUGCCGGUUAUUGACCCGCAGGCCUUCUUCCUCACUGAAAGUGCUUUACAACCCGAAGGCCUUCUUCACACACGCGGCAUGGCUGGAUCAGGGUUGCCCCCAUUGUCCAAUAUUCCCCACUGCUGCCUCCCGUAGGAGUCUGGGCCGUGUCUCAGUCCCAGUGUGGCUGAUCAUCCUCUCAGACCAGCUACGGAUCGUCGCCUUGGUGAGCCGUUACCUCACCAACCAGCUAAUCCGACAUAGGCUCAUCCGAUAGCGCGAGGCCCGAAGGUCCCCCGNUUUCCCCCGUAGGGCGUAUGCGGUAUUAGCCUGGGUUUCCCCAGGUUAUCCCCCACUACCGGGCAGAUUCCUAUGCAUUACUCACCCGUCCGCCGCUCGCCACCAGGGAGCAAGCUCCCCGUGCUGCCGCUCGACUUGCAUGUGUAGCUCGCCGCCACGCGUCAUCUGAGCAUGAUACAACUACUCGA